GAUAAACGCUAGCGGCAGGCUUAACACAUGCAAGUCGAGGGGCAGCAUAGAUUGUAGCAAUACAAUUGGUGGCGACCGGCGCACGGGUGCGUAACGCGUAUGCAACCUACCCGUCACAGGGGGAUAAUCCGGAGAAAUCUGGUCUAAUACCCCAUAACAUAUGGAUCGGCAUCGGUUCAUGUUGAAAUUUUCGGAGGUGACGGAUGGGCAUGCGUAGCAUUAGCUUGUUGGUGAGGUAACAGCUCACCAAGGCGACGAUGCUUAGGGGGACUGGGAAGUUUUCCCCCCACACUGGUACUGAGACACGGACCAGACUCAUACGGGAGGCAGCAGUGAGGAAUAUUGGUCAAUGGGCGCAAGCCUGAACCAGCCAUGCCGCGUGCAGGAUGACGGCUCUAUGAGUUGUAAACUGCUUUUGUACGAGGGUAAAGUGGGUUACGUGUAACCUUUUGAAAGUAUCGUACGAAUAAGGAUCGGCUAACUCCGUGCCAGCCGCCGCAGUAA
Molecule: ribosomal RNA, 504 nt
Filed under: uncultured bacterium
Lineage: Bacteria
Description: partial 16S ribosomal RNA
Rfam family: Bacterial small subunit ribosomal RNA
Source: RNAcentral